This 301-nucleotide ribosomal RNA is filed under the name uncultured bacterium. RNAcentral's name for it is "partial 16S ribosomal RNA". It matches the Rfam family "Bacterial small subunit ribosomal RNA", at positions 509 to 807 of the family's 1533-position model. The record is from RNAcentral.
CAGCCGCCGCGGUAAAACGUAGGUGGCAAGCGCUGUCCGGAAUUAUUGGGCGUAAAGGGCUCGCAGGCGGUUUCUUAAGUCUGAUGUGAAAGCCCCCGGCUCAACCGGGGAGGGUCAUUGGAAACUGGGAAACUUGAGUGCAGAAGAGGAGAGUGGAAUUCCACGUGUAGCGGUGAAAUGCGUAGAGAUGUGGAGGAACACCAGUGGCGAAGGCGACUCUCUGGUCUGUAACUGACGCUGAGGAGCGAAAGCGUGGGGAGCGAACAGAAUUAGAUACCCCAGUAGUCCCUGUCUCUUAUAC